AAAUAGAAGGAGGUGAAGAGGAUGAGGGGACUGAAGGAGGAGGAGGUGAUAUGGUGGAUCUUGCUGGGGUGGGGGGUGGAGAAAGAGGUUCAGAACCUGAUGGAGGAGGGGGUGAAGGAGAAUUUUGAGGUGAGCUUGCCACCGGUGGGGGUGGGGAACUGGAUGAAGUUGGAGAUGGAACAUUGUCUGGAGGAGGUGUAGAAGGUGAAACAGCUGGAGGGGAAGGUGGGGUCCCUACAGGAGGGGCUGGGGAAACCCGGGGAGAGGGAGAACCUUCUGAUGGAGGUGGUGGGGACAAAACUGGAGGGGGUGUUGAGUUCACAGCUGGAGGAGGGGCAGAUGUUGGAGGUGAUGGUGGCGGUGAUGCUGGAGGUGAUGGUGGUGGUGAUGCUGGAGGAGAUGGUGGUGGUGAUGCUGGAGGUGAUGGUGGUGGUGAAGUUGGUGGUGGUAUUGAUGCAGGCGGCGGUGGUGGUGAUUCUGGAGGAGAGGCAGUAACUGAUGGUGGAGGAGAUUGAGUAGGUGGGGGUGAAGGAUUAGAAGGGGUUGAGGGUGCUACUUGGUCAGAAGUCUGAUUAGGAUCAGAGCCAGCAGGAGGUUGUGAAUUACUGGAAGAAUUUGAAGAAGAGGAAGAUGACGGGGAGGUAGCAGUGGAAGGAGGAGAAUUUGGAGAAGGUGACGCUGAAGCCAUCUCUCUCCGAAAUUUCCUUUCUAAAAAUUGUGUAUCUACACUUCACUAUAUUAAUUUCACCAAAUCAUAUCUUGUAGCUCUCCAAUCUUCGCCCAAAAAACAUAUGGAACCGCACCAUUCCAAAGCAAUGUUCCAUCCCAAAAAUUGCAAAACACAACAACCCAAAGAAGAAUCCUAUUCACUCAAACAAACAAGACCUAGUUCAUAAAACCUUCAGAUGAGAAAAAUCCAAUAAUUUACAUACUCUUCCACUACAAAUACGCAAAUUCUUCGAACACUAAUAAGCCCUAAAAAAACCCAAUUCCACAAGACUAAGCAAAACCCAGUUCAGAAAACCCUAAUAUGAGCAACACCCAGAUAUCAAAUUUCGAGAUUUUGAGCAAAAAGCACAGAUCAAAAUUCAAAACAGUUCAGUUUGAACGACCCCAGAAGUCCUGAACUGGUUUUAACAAAACCCAGAUUUACAAAUGCACUCCAGAACCCAGCACUGUUACGAGCAAAUGUAGCACACUGGAAGCACCAGAAUGAAAGUCCAGAAAUCCCAAAUGCUAAAAACCCAAGAAAACCUUACCAAUCCCCCUCUAAUUGAAGAUUUUCGAAACGCGUCUUACCAAAUCCUGCUAGUGUGUGUUGCCUGGAAGCUUCUUGUCCAGAUGAAGCAGCAAAGCAAAGAACUCGGCAAAUUGGCCCAAAAAUUUUGCAAACAAACGUGGAGGCGACUUCACAGAACAGUUCUCACAGAUAUCGAGUAUAAAACCAACCAAACAACACCAUGAUCUGAGCUCAACGAGUACAGAAAUAUUAGCUGUUGAUGGAAAUAGUUAAUAGAUAUAAAAAGGGAAAGAGGUCAUCCUCGGCUGAAGUCAAGGAACCACUCAUCCCCACCAGGCCAUGUUAGAGCUCCCUUUCCACCUUUUUUCCCAUUAACACCAAUAGUCAGCGCUCAAAAUCAUGGGGGCUUUCUUUGAGUGAUUUUCCAAGAUCUCAUUCUCACUCUCUGCCAACUGCAACAUUAUUUAUUUCUACAGCAUGGAUUAGUAUUUUACAACCAUUUUUACAGUUAUUUAUAACGAUAAACCACCGCCAGAAGAAUCAUUGUUGGUGAGCUAAUGAUGGAUCCAUGGGAAAUGGUUUUCUUACAAGCAAUUGCACAUGUAGUUGUAUAACUUUUGCUCUCCAUCACAAGCCUUUUCCAGAGCUGAAUGAUAGUAUAUUAUAUUAUUUAUUUACUAAAUCCCUUAUAUUAUAUUAAGGUUCAAGGCUCAAUUCUUCUUCUAUAAGAGUAAGACUAACAAAGUAAUGAUUUUAUUCAUGCCUCAUCAUAGAAAAUAUUUCUAAUUUUGUACUAAGAAUCCAAAAAUUGAUGAAAUUUCAGAGGAAAAAACAUAUUAUCUUGAACGGUGGAGAAGGGAAUAUAUGAAGGAAUGUCUAAAUACUAUCCACUUAGAAUAUGAAAUUUAAAAUUUUCUAAUGCUUUGACAUGCCUAAGAAUAAGAAUUCACCAUUAUGCACUCUUUCUUGGAGUACACAAAUUUCAAUCCAUUUGUGUGUCCCAUAAAGCAGCCCUAGUGUUUUGAAAUUCCACUUUUGGUGAAGAACGGCUUUUCCUUUUUGAGACCUCUUAAACACAACAACAUGCUUUAAAAGAUGAUUCUGAUAAAACUAAUGGGGGCCAUGCCAUGAGCAAUGUGCCUAAGCUUUUAUUUGAAAAAAGUAACAAAUAAAUUAGCACUAUGACCCACGUUUGGCUGACCUGUAAUUUGGGCCUAGGAACAUGUUAGCCCAGGUUGAAUCUGAAGGGAAAGCAUAUGGUCAUUGAAUUAGAAAAAUAUUUGUACUUCAUUUUCUAGAUUAAGAGAAUAACUUUUUUCUACUUAAGACCAAACAAAUAACCUGAUUUCAUUUGAAUUUAAUCCCAGUUAAUGAAUAUAGGAAUAUACACUCUUUACUCCCAACCCCAAAAACCAAAGAGAUUAUUGGGGUUCAGAAUUUAUGGGCUUUUUAUGGGGUUGACUUGGCUGAAAAUCUAGGCAAGAAGAUAUUUUCUACUCCUCAAGAAAAGCAGCCAUUGAAGGGGAAAGAAGCAACAAGAACCAAAAAUAAAAAGGGAAUAGUUGGAGAAAGAAGCUUGCAUAUCACGGGAUGCUAAAGUCACUACAAGACACUAAGAAGGGUCAUGGAAUGGUAUAAUUUCUGUGAAUCAAGACAAGGGAGGGUGACAAAACAACAAUGGGGUAUCUUCUCCAACAGCGUCACAAGAUGAGAAUCAAUAUUCUUUGGCUUAUAAAAAAAAAAGGAGGAAUUCAUUAAAGCAAAUACUAAAGAUAGAGGAGCCACAUUUUAUUCAAAUACAUUACAAAUAUAAGAUAAGACAAUAAUUUCAGUGACAAUAAUGGCUAAACAAGCAGUAUUUUCCUCCCUCAAAUCUCCCUUCCUCUUCAUCCCCUCUACUGUGGAUCCACCACAAAAGGUUUGUAAGUGAGUUUCCAUCAUCAUAGCCAUUCAGUUUCCUGAUCUUCUCCAAAGCCCCUUCUUUGUCAUAAAUCCCUUCCAUGGCAUAUAGAAACCCCUUCCACCCUUCUCCAACUCCCUCCCUUCCCAAAGCUGGCAAUGUCCAUUUCACCAGCUCUCUCGCAAACUGCACAUCAGAGAACAGAACCUCGGUGAUGGGCAAUACAGGUAACACCUGAAUUCCAAGCCUGCACUCUCUCCACUCAGGAGGAGCAAACCAAAGUCCACCGUCCCUCUUGUUAGCCCACAGAACACCCACCACCCGGUUCUCCCUUGUGAAAUCUUCUGCUUCUGCAUAUAUUUUAUCCCCUUCUCUCACAUGCCACCACGUUUGAGCUGCCUUUAUCUCCAUUGCUGCAAGCAUUGAUCCAGUGGCUACAAGAUGGGUGUCUCCAUAGGCUAAUCCCAUCAAUGCUGCAGAAUAGUAAGCAUUCACAGCUUCACUAGUGCUCUCUUGGUUCCGCCCAUCUGCAAAUUCGGUCAGCCCACUAGCCCAAGAAUGCAAUUUCCAUAAAUCAAAACACCUCAAACGAGGAUAGUUGGAACUCGAAUGCCUCCCUAAGGUCAUAAAAUCUGCCAUUAGGGAAUAAGCUUGAGGUCUAUACUUCCUCCCCCAUGCAGGGUCAAUCUUGGCCAGCACUGCAAUUGCAUAAAGAAAAUAACCAAGAUGGAAAUGGUGAUCGUUGUACACUCCAAAACCAAAAUCUGCCCCCGAAUCCGUUGAUCCUUGUCUAGUAACAAGUCCACCCCACUUUCCUUCAUAUAAGAAACCAUUCCCACUAAAAGUCCCAUCCAACCAUGGGGUAAUCGUAUUCUUCAAGAACUUCCUAAUCACCGGUAUCACAUCAAGAAAGCACACCUCCUCUGCAAUCAAUGCCAAUCUCGCCGCCCUGGCAAUCAAUUUCCCAUAAAAAUAAGACGAUGUUGUUGAUAUAUUGGAUGAAUUCAGAUCCUCAACAUCUCUGCAAAGCGCAGAAACAAUUUCAGGAAAUGAUUCUUCCUUGACCCCUUUAAUUGAAUUCCAGGUUAUUGAGACCGGGUCUAAUUUCAAUUUCCAUGAAUCUCCAACAACACCUACAAGCUCACCAUCAAUACUGUUAAACUUGAAAUCAUCCAAAACAGCGACCUCAUCAUCAGCCGACAAAAGCCGAAGAUGUAGAGGAUGAGCCAGCAUGAGCAAGUCUCCCCAUCCCUUCUUAUCCCAUCUGUACUCUAAACAAAAGGGCUUACUCAAUUCAGCUUUCCCUGAUAUGGGAUAGCAAGAGCUGAAUCUAUCAAGGAUCGACUCGAAUCUUGGAUUGGAAUCUGGCAGUAUGGCAAUCCGAAUUAUGCCGGAAUACGCAUCAGAAGUUAUGGAAGAAAUAUCAUGGGUCAAAUUAAUCGCAGAAGAAGUGUAAAGCAGCCAAGUUUGACCGUUGUUGAGCUUAAUGGUGUACUUGGUGCGAGAACUGCUUGGUGAGAAUGAGAGAAUCGCAUGGAUCGUCGUGAUGGAAAGGGCGGUCCCACCGGAGACGGCGCAGGUGAGAAACGGGCUUCCUCGGACCAGGAAAAACCGGAGAUUCGAGGAAGGGAGGUCUAGAGUGACGCUGAGAUCACUGAAGGAAGACACAAUGUGGCGUCUCUGAGAAUCUGGGUCAGUUUUGUUGGAGGCGGAGAUGGUGAGAUCAGGAUUGAAGAUUUGGUAGAUGAAAACAGAGGUCAAGAACUGAGAUGGGUAUGAGAGGGAGAGAGAGGAGGAGGAAGAUUUGAUGAGAUAGGGAUGAAUAUACUCAGGCUGAUCACCAUGUUUGAGAACAAAGUUUUGGAAGAAGGAAUUGGUGGGAAGUGGGGCAGUAAGGAGGUCGGGAGAAAAGAAGGGGGAAGGAUCAGGUAUGACUGAGGAUUCGAUUUUUGGAAAGAGGAAGGGGGAGGAUUGUGGAAUGUGAUGGUGGUGAUGGGGUUCUGCCAUGAUUGGUGAUGAAGGAGACAGAGGAGACAAAGGAGACAAAGGAGGAGGCGGAGAAGGAGGUGGAGUUAUGGUUUUGGGGGUUUUAGGUGGUUUUGAACGUUUUUUGAAGCUCUUGCUAAUCACGAGUUUGACUUUUCUUCUGAUUUUUUUCAACAUCUCGAGGUGAUUGAUUGGUGAGCCUUGACCCAACUGUUAAAUUAUCGAAGAACGCAAAUAGAUCGAGGAUUUGUUAGGGAUUUUGAUACAGAAAACGGAGAAAAUGGAGGCAAUGGAAACGGAGAAAAUGGAGGCUGUUUGCCUCUAAUUGGAUGGAACUUUCCACCCACAUUCACAACCAGAGUGGGGUAGGUUUGGCCCUUUUGGGUGGGACUUGAAUUAAGAAUGUGAAAACAGGGAAAUGGGGGAAGUAAGAGGAAGAAGAAUGGAUUGGAAGGGAAGUUUGUGGGCUCUGCAAGUUAUGGUUUUGAUGAAUGGCAUGAUUGCAAGACAUGUUAAAUGGUUUUCAAAGGAAUAUGUGUAGGGAGGGACAAGACACUGGGGUGGUUAGGGAAUGUUUGGCAUACAAGAAAGUAAUGGGGUGAAUAUUCCUUUUUUAAGUUUUUCAGAGAAUGAGUGAAGCUUCACAACAUUUAGACAAUGGAUGCCACCUAUUUUAACCAAUGCUAAUGUUUUGAACCCUUGAUUUAUAUAACCAAACACAUCUUUCAAUUUCAGGUAUUUGAUUUUGGGUAAUUUCUCUUAUUGCAAGAAAGCCUUGCUACAAAGAAAGAAUAGCAAGAAAAGAAGAAAAAUUUUAGAAAAUGUCAACCAUCCAUGAGAAUAAUGGUGUAGUCAUUCACACAAAGUCUCAUGAGAAUUUAUAACACUUCUUGAUAUCCGUUGUCUUAUAUUUUGGGCUUAGAUUUCAAAAGAAAGAAUCAAUUGUAUUUUGGGCUUGAAAUUUCUUUGGGGUUUUGGCCCAAAUUGGGUUUUUAAAUAAGCAAUUGGGUUUGGUCCAAACUAGUUUGAGCCCAAUUAGUCCAUUAAAAAUGUUUAAAACCCUUUUCAACAAAUUUAAUUUCCAAUAUCAAAAGAUUCAAAAUCUAAUUCGAAGCUUUUGUUUUAACCUAUUUUUGAAUGAAGAACCUACCCAACUGUACCAAAUUACACUACAUAUUAUAGUUAAUACCACAUAAGCAACGCCAACAAUCACUCUAACCCCAUUAUUUCCUGCAUAAUGAGAAUUUUUUUUAUAAUUGUUCUGUGAUUUAAAAAUAGGAAAAUUAUCAAAAAAGUGGGCUAAAGAUGAUAAUGUCUAGGAAGAACUUAUGAAUUCAUAUGAAGGACAAAAUUUAUCAUAGUAUAAUUAUGUAUUUGAAUGUGAUCUUUUAUAUAUAAAUAACUUCAUGAUGAUGAUAAGGAUAGUCUAUCAAUAUUUGCAUAUAUCGGUUUCCAAAAUAUCAUUUUUCCCUUUUGAAUAAUAUUUGCAUAUAAGGAUACUCAAUCAAUAUUUGCAUAUAAAUAACUUCAUGAUGAAUUCAUAUUAUUUUUUCUUUGACCUAUAUAUAUAUAUAUAUAUAGGUCAAAGAAAAAAUAAUAAAAUAUUAAAAUAAAAAAUUAUAUAUUUUUUUUGUUAUUUUCAUUAUAAUAAAUUAAAUUAUUUGAAAUAUACUUUUUUUUUUCAAGUUCUUUUUUUUUCUUCAAAAAACUUGAGAUUUUUUAGAGAAUCCGGUAAAAAAAAUUAAUUUUCAAUCUCUCCUAAAUAAAAAUCACGCCCUAAGGUUAUUAUGUCAUUAUAUAUAUAAUUAAAAGUUUUAUUAUUCUAAUAGAAUAAACAAUGAUUUUUCACGAGUACUCAUCAAUUGAAAAAUAUUCAACUAUUUGUUUGGUAAUAUAGCAUGUGAAUUUUUUUUUAAAAUAAAUUAAAUUAUGUUAUAAUGUAUUAUUACAUUAGUGUAUUUGUAUUAUAAGUAUACUGCAUUUAUGUUGUACCUAUAUUUUAUGACAAAAGUAAUGAUUCUAAAAAUACCUAUUCAUACCCUAUUGUAUCUUAUAUAAAAGUUAUUAGUAUUUUCUCAUUUAAAAAAAAAAAGUAUAUCCAAAUUAUAAAUCUAACCUCUAUUUUUAAAUUAAUUUCAAGGUAAAAAGAUGAAAAGAAUGUUAAGUACAACGUAUGUCUUCAACCAAGAUAAAGGAAAGGAUCAAUUAUGUGUAAAAGAGAGACUCAAAUAAAGUAGAAGAGUUCAAGUAAAGGUGUGAGCAAGUCUUACGCAUGAGAGAUUGGAAAUAAAUAUUAUGGAGAGAGUUAGAGAACGCACAACCAUAAGAGAUAAGAAAUAAAUAUUAUGGAGAGAGUUAGAGAGCGCACAACCAUGAGAGAGAAGGUUUGAAGCCUUGUUGUCAAGUUCAAAGGGAAAUUGGAACUCAAACUAAUGCAUCAACACUAACCCUAACUUUGAGUUUAAUUCUAGGUAGACUCCUAUGAGUUUUAUGAUAAAUCGCACAUAUAGUUUGGAAGCUUUUAAAAGUCAGAAAUCCAACUCUUUAAAUUAUUUGUAAAUCAAAGUUAAAACAAAGAAGAUAUGAUAAACCCAAUUGAAUUACAUGGAAAAAAAAUAGUCUAAUUUAAAAAUUACAAAUUAAGCUCUAAAUAGUGUUCAAUCAUUUGGACCUCAAAGGCAAUACGACAAAGAAAAAGGCACCGGUGAAAUUUGAAACCCAACAUUCAUUUUGAAUAUAGGGACACUAUUUUAAACCCAAAACACGGAGGAAACAAAAUAAGUAUUGGUUGAGUUUGAAAUAAUCGGUAGAUUUCAAACUCAACUAGUUAAUUUUGUACUAAACCAUUUUAGAGACUUAGGCCACUUAUGAGUAUGAGAAAGCAAAACAUUAUUGAGAUUUUGCUAUUUUUUAUCUUAAAAAAGGUUGAAUAGUUCUAAAAUGAUCAUAGCUACCUUUUAGGUAGAUAAAUAACAAGAGUGGCUAUAAAGACUUUGUAGGCAAAAGGAGCAACAAGGGUGUUUUGGUAUUUUCCACAAACUUAUAUUUGUGUGUAUAUGUUAAGGUUAUUAUUAUUAUUAUUAUUAUUAUUCACUUGAAAGUCCUAAACUUUAUUGUUUAAUGAUCUAAUUUUAUUAGAAGUUUGUUCUUUCUUAGGUUCCAAUUUGGGUGGUUCAACUCAAAUCUAACUAACCCAAUUUUGCAUGGACUUAGGUGAUUUAAUUUGUAAAUUAGGUUUGGCUUGGUCAAAAAAUAUCAACCUAGAUUAAAUUUAGGUUGGGCUUGGGUAAGGGUCUCAAGAAACCUCAACCUAGCACAAACCCAAUUGUAUAUUUGUAUAAAAUUUAAAUUAUAAAUUUUUAUGUAUGUAUUGUAUGUAUGUAUAUAUAUUAUUUCAUGGUAUUGUACUGAGAAUCUUUUUGGUAAUGCUUUCAAAAAUUAUUUCUAGCUUAAAAAGUCAUUUUUGAAAAAAUGAUCAGACAAAAUUUAAAAAAUACUUUUAUAAAGUUAAAAAAUCACUUGUAGUGUAAACGACCUGAACAGUUGGAGAAAAGAAACUUAGCAUUUCACAUGAUGCUGAAGCAGAUGUGGAAUAGUUGUUCUUCAGUUUCAGCUAAGAAAUUGAGAAGACAGGGCAAUAUGCAUAAAUCAAUCCAGUCAUGGCUGCCCAAAGGAAAGAUUCAUCCAAUCUUCGGGCAUAAUUUAUUCGACUACAUCCCGAAUGUAAGGCAAAGAAUUUCACUGAUAAUACUGGCCAAACCAGGAUAAUUUUCCUCCUUCAAGUCCCCCUUCCCCUUCAUCUCCUCUGCUGUGAAUCCACCACAAAAGGUUCGUAAGUGAGUUUCCAUCAUCAUAACCACUCAGUUUCCCGAUCUUCUCCAAUGCCACUUCUUUGUCAUAAAUCCCUUCCAUGGCAUAUAGAAACCCCUUCCACCCUUCUCCAACUCCCUCCCGUCCCAAAGCUGGCAAUGUCCAUUUCACCAGCUCUCUCACAAACCCCACAUCGGAGAACAGAACCUCGGUGAUGGGCAAUACAGGUAACACCUGAAUUCCAAGCCUGCACUCUCUCCACUCAGGAGGAGCAAACCAAAGUCCACCGUCCCUCUUGUUAGCCCACAGAAUACCCACCACCCUGUUCUCCCUUGUGAAAUCUUCUGCAUACAUUUUAUCCCCUUCUCUCACAUGCCACCAUGUUUGAGCUGCCUCUAUCUCCAUUGCUGCAAGCGUUGACCCAGUGGCUACAAGAGGGGCAUCUCCAUAGGCUAAUCCCAUCAAUGCUGCAGAAUAGUAGGUAUUCACAGCUUCACUAGUGCUCUCCUGGUUCCUCCCGCCUGAAGAUUCAGUCACCCCACUUGCCCAAGAAUGCAAUUUCCAUAAAUCAAAACACCUCAAACGAGUAUAGUUGGAAUUCGAAUUCCUCCCUAAGUUCAUGACAUCCGCCAUUAGGGAAUAAGCUUGAGGUCUAUACUUCCUCCCCCAUGCAGGGUCAAUCUUGGCCAGCACUGCAAUUGCAUAAAGAAAAUAACCCAGAUGGAAAUGGUGAUCGUUGUACACUCCAAAACCAAAAUCUGCCCCCGAUUCCGUUGAUCCUUGUUUAGUAACAAGUCCACCCCACAUUCCAUCAUACAAGAAACCAUUCCCACCAAAACUACCAUCCAACCAGGGGGUAAUCGUAUUCUUCAAGAAAUUCCUAAUUGCCGGUAUCACAUCAAGGAAACUCACCUCCUCUGCAAUCAGUGCCAAUCUCGCUCCCCUGGCAAUCAAUUUCCCGUAAUAAUAAGAGGAUGGUGUCCAUAUACCACCGGAUGAAUUCAGUGAUGGAAAGGGCGGUGUGGGCGGAGACAGCGCAGGUGAGAAAGGGGCUUCCCCGGACGAGGAAGAAGCGGAGAUUGGAAGAAGGGAGGUCUAGAGUGACACUGAGAUCACUGAAGGAAGACACAAUGUGGCGCCUCUGUGAAUCAGCGUGGGUUUUGUCCGAGGCAGAGAUGGUGAGAUCAGCAUUGAAGAUUUGGUGGGUGAAAACAGAGUUGGAGAAAUGAGAUGCGUACGUGAGGGAUAGGGACGAGGAAGAAGACUUGAUGAGAUAGGGGUGGAUAAACUCAGGCUGAUCGCCAUUUUGAAGAACAAAGUUUUGGAAGAAAGAAUUUGUGGGAAGUGGGGUUGAGAGGAGGUCAGGAGAAAAGAAGAGGGAAGGGUCAGGGAGGACUGAGGAAUUGGUCCUCGGGAAGAGGAAGGGGGAAGACAGCUGAUUUUGGUUUUGUGCCAUGGAUGGUGAUGAAGGAGCUUGAUGAGGGGACCGAGCCGGGGGGGUUGGGGUUUAGAGGUUUUCUUGAAGCUCUUUCUGAUUAUGAAGUGUAACAGGGUCUCUUCAACACUUAAUACUAGUGGAUAUGGCUUAACCCAAUUAUUAAUUAACUGAUAAAUCAAUGGAUAAAGGAUUUUGUUACAGAAAAGGGCCAAAAUGGAGGAAGCUAGCUGAGAAAGCAGGGAACGGAGGAUGUUGGUGGACGGCGACUGAAUAAACUUUCCGCCCAAAUUCAAAGCCAUUGGCCUCUUCUUUCAUGUUUUAUUAUUAUCUGCAUACAUCUCUACAUGUGACUGAAUGCCUUAAAAAAAUUCUUAAAAUUCAAGCACAUUAGUUAAUUUUGAUGAUUUCUUUGGUUUGCUAAAAGGAAAAACAUGCCAUCUAAAACAUUCAAUCUUUCAUCCACUGAUAGAAUAAAACUUGGGAGUCCAAAAUACAUUUCAAACACCCUACCCCAUACUAUGUUUACAUUAUCACAUGUGAACUAGGGAUCACAUGGGAACGCUCAAACAAAUCUAUAACCUAUGUUAUCUUGAACAGGGUAUCACGUGGGAUCCUGCACAAUAUUGAGUGAUUUUUUAAUUUUAUUUUAUAUUAUUUAAAUUAUUUGGUAUUUUAUUUAAUAAUACUAAUAAAUUUUGUCCUCUUAUAAUAUUGAAAUAUACUUUUCCGAUAAGUGUCUAAAAUUUGUUUUAACUUUAUAAUUGAGUCUUCUUUGUUUACAUCAUUACACUCUAAUUGUAUUUAUUUAUACUCUUAUCCAAUUACUUAAAUUUUAACAUACUUUAACGAGUCUGUGAAUGAUAAAUCAUAGAUUGAACUGUUGAAUCGAAAAAAUUAGGUGCUAUCAUAUAAUUUUGUAUCGAAUAAAUUCACAAAUUGGAAAUAAACGAACUCAAAUUGUUGCCAUUCGUCAUAGAAUAAACCAUCGCCUCUUAGGGCCCUUGGCUAAUGAUAAACAAUAACUCUCCCGAACACAACUUACAAUUUUCAUUUGUACUGUGUUCUCCAAAGAACAACUCUUCUCAAAAUCUUAAAAGGUGCUAAGUUGGAAUCUAAUCAUAAUUACGGAUUCUUGUGGUUCUAGAGGACCCAAUUACAGGAAAACUAGGAACGAAGAGCUUUCCCAUUUUUUUCAUGACUCUUUGGUCUUAAAAAUGUUGGUUUUAAAAAUGAGUGAUUGCCCUUCUCCAAUCCUUAUUACCUAACCUAAGAAUGGAGAGCUAAUGCGUUCCCACUUAUUGAAUAAGGUUUUAUGGUCGAUCCACAACCCCUAGAUGCCAAAGGUACCAUUGGGGUGAUCUUGUAAUUCCUAAGGGUGGAGAUUCAAUUAUUGAAAUAAGAAAUUUGAUAGAUUACUAUAUAUAUAUAUAUAUAUAAUGACUCCGUAUAAAAUAAAAAUAGGAAAUUAAGUUAUAUAUUAUUAAUAUUAUUUUAUUAUAUUGGGGGGUUGUAUUUGGCAUUUGUUGAGUUUCAUUUUCACCAUCUCGUCUCACCCACGAAGUAAAUAACGAAAAGUAUGUAAAUAAUCAAAUGGUUUCGACAUUUCUAUUCAAAGAAACUACCUUUAUCCAACAUAAAAGGUGUUGUGUUGGUCAAAAAUAACAAUUUAGGAUUAUAAAAAGUUUAUAUUUAAAUUUUAUAUAUUUGGUAAAUAUUAAUUUUAAAAUUAUUAAUAUUUAUAUUUGAUAAAUAUUAAUUUUUUUAUUUUAUCAUAAAAAAUAUCAUUUUAUCCAAAUAAGUGUAAUUAUACCUUAUAAUUUCUCUGUUUCCACUCUCCAAACAUGUGAAAAAAAAAUUAAUUUUGAGAUUUCAUGUAUAAUUUGCAAAAUUGGUGAAAAUAAGAUUAUUGGCUCACUCAACCAAAUCAACGGGUGAAGCUAGCUCCCUCAAAUAAAGGGUGUUUUUUAUGCUGACCCAAGUCUAGCGAUGAUAAUGUGAUGUGUUAGCGCGCCCUUGUCUCCCAAACCAGGGAAUGAAUCUUUAUUUCUAACUCUUUCUCACCUAGUAUGGGUGGAUGCGCCUUUGGCUCUGCCUUUGUAGGCACUAUAUUUGGAUCUGCUACUUGGUCUAAACAACUACUCAUCAAGUAGGAUCGGAUGGUCAAUCAAAGGGAUUGGUUUGGGCAUGCUCUCGAGGAGUAUAUCCAACCAUGUUUAGCAUCUUCUCGUCAAGCAAGGAAAAGAAAGGUAGUAAGAGGAGUAAGGAGCAGAGGUAGGGAGCAAAGGAAGCUGAGUAGGUCUUGAGUCUUUAGGUCUUUCAUUUUGUAAUCAAGGAUAAAAUUUUGAGAAAUUAUAUGUUUUUACAACCCAUGUAAAAUUUGUUUCAAUUUUUUUUUUUAAUCAUUUUACAACAAGCAAAAAGGGGUGCAAGUGAUUUGGGUAUUGGGCACAGGGAAGUGGUGUUUAAGUGGGGGAAAGGGGGUUGGGGUUUACUGAAAUUAGGAAUGACAUUCUUAAUGGUGCAAUCCUAAAAAUGAAUGACAGUUUGAUAAAUAUAAUAUAAAAAUAAGGAUAAAAUACAAUUACAACAAAAAUGCGUCUAAAUUUAAAAAAGGGUUGAAGUUGACUGAAAUUACAAGAAUAUCAUUCAUAAUUGGUGUAGCCACAAAAUGAAAUGAAUGACACUUGGUAAAUAUAAUAUAAAAAUAAGGAUAAAAUAUUGUCAUAACAAAAUGUGUCUAAGUUGGAAAGAGUGUUAAGUUAGCUUAAAUUAUACUAAUGUCAUUUUUCAUAGAUCAAUUGAGGUGUUGUAGAAUGACAAUUUGAUAAAUAUUCGAAGAAACUAAGUAUAAGAAAGGUAAAAAAAAGUAACAAUAAAAUGUGAAUUUUGGCUUUUAUAGUAUAAAGAUAUUUAGAAAAAAGUUUUUUAAAAAAUAUUGUGGAUGAAUUUUGAAUUAUACAACUCAAUUGAUUCAAAUUUGAAAUAAUGAAAUUGGAUUAGACAUAGAUUGAGUACUUUAUGUUAAAAAUUGGAUUGGAUUAAAUUUGAGUUAAUCAUUUAUAAUUCAAGUUGGGAUCAGGUUUGCCAACAACUUAAUCCAUUUGUCUAAAUUGUUGCAUAAAGAUAAUUAGAUUAGGCUCAAAUUAAUUAUUUCUUGAUUUGAAUUGGGAUGGACUUUGUCAUCAACUCAAUGAACGUCUUCAAAAUUUUCAUCUGCAAUGUAGAUUUCUCGGUUUUAAUGGAAAUUUGUUUUUAUUCCCCUUUUUUGUAUUUAAAAUUUUCAAUACCUAUAAACUUGAUGAACCCAAUUGUGGCUACAUUAUGCUAAAUCAUAGAAAAUAAAUAAAUAUAUAUUAAGCUUUAUUAAUAGGGAAACUUGUGUUUUGAUGGAGCCAUUUGGGAAAUAUAUGGUUUUCAGAACCCAACUGAAAUAUGAAAAUCAACUUUUAAUGUGAAAAAUUAUAUAUUUUUUAUGCACUCUGAGUCGGCUACAUAUUUUGUGCUGAGAUUGCCUUUUUUUUUUCCUCCUGUACCCACCAUCCACUUCUCUCUCUCUCUCCAGUGAAACUGGUCGACACUUUGUCGACGUCAUCACCGACCUCCCUCUCUCUCCCUUUCCCUUCCCUCUUUCUCUUUCUUUCCUUCCCUUUCGACAUCACCAAGAGAGAAGAAGGCGGUGACAAUGGUGGAGAACCAGGGCUAGAGGGAAGAAGGCGUGGUUGGUUGCCAUUGACAACAGCAACCAACAACUCUCGCGAUCAUUGACGGCGGCGGCGACGGAAGCACCAACGUAGGGAGAGAGGGGAGCACCACCGUUAUAGCAAAAUUCAAAUUCAAAGCAUCCAAAACCCAAAUCCAUAAACCAAACAAAAUACCCAUUAAUGUAAUAACUCCAUACAAAUUUAGCUAAUAUAAGGGCAAAUGAAGAAGGAGAAGGAAAAGAUAAGAUCCACCCAUCACUGAGAAGUGGAUUCUCUUAUAGUACUAAAUCAAAUUCCCAACAAACAAACAAAAAUUAAAGAAGAGGGAUGAAUCUGGAAUACCUCCACGGUCAAGAAGAAGAACAGUGGUGGGAGAGGAACAAGACUUAAAGGGCUUGUCACCCUCAAAAGGCACACACCCAAAAGAGCCUUUUUUAGGAUAAACAACAGACCCCACCAUGGAUCCUCCAUAAUCAAGAAUACCAACCCGCCUCUCCUCGACGUCUCUCCCUACGCUGGUGCUUCCACCACCGUCGCUGUCAAUGAUCGCGAGAGUUGCUAGUUGUCGCCGUCAAUGGCAACCAGCCGCGCCUUAUUCCCUCCGGCCCUGGUUCUUCACCAUUAUAAUCGCCUUCUUCUCUUUGGGUGAUGUCGAAAGGGAAGGAAAGAAAGAGAAAGAGGGAAGAGAAAGGAAGAGAAGGGGAGACCAGUGAUGACACGGCAAAGUGUCGGUCGGUUUCACUAGGGAGGGAGGAAGAGGUGAAUGGUGGGUACGGGAGGAAAAAAAAAAAAGGUAAUCUCGACACAAAAUAUGUAGCCGGCUCAGAGUGUAUAAAAAAUAUAUAAUUUUUCACAUUAAAAGCUGAUUUUCAGAUUUUAUAAAGUUGGGUUCCGAAAACCAUAUAUUUCCCAAAUAGCCUCAUCAAAAUACAAGUUUCCUUUAUUAAUACCAAGUGAAACCAUCCAAUCAUUAUCUACCUUUUAUUAUUUAUUUGUAUUCUUGUUCCACAUGGCCUCUUUGGCCACGUUUGGCAUUCACCACCGCCAAAAAAUAUUUGAUUGUGCUCCACAUGACAGUUUUAAGUAUAGACCAUGUUUGGCUAGUUCUUCAUUAUUGCCAAAAUAUCAUUAAAAAAAACCUUAAAACCUCAUCCCCUUACUUCUUCCUUUGAAACCUUAAACCCCAAAGACCCACAAACUUAAUACAAAUAUCGAAGAAUUGAGAUUUUGAUUAAAGAUAUGGAUUGCAACAGUAGAUUUUUAUGUUUUUUUUUUUUUGGCAAUAUUUUGCUUUUCCUUUUCAUAGUUGGGAAAAUUUUGUAAAAGAGAAUAAAUGUUGGGUGUUUAGGUGUUUAUAGUUUCCUUUUCAUAGUUGAAAAAUUUUCGAGAGAGUAAAUUUUGGAGAUUCAAUUUUCGUUCCUCUUCCUCGAAAGCCUUAACUUCCCAAAGCCUUAAAGUCUCAUAAUUAUCAAUUGAUUUUUUCUAUUUUGGGGUUGUUUUUUUUGUUAUUUUUUCAUAAAAUGAAUUGAAUUUGGCUACCAAGACAACCAAUUUUUCUUCUAGGCUCGUUAAUUCUGUUUAUUUAGGAAUAAUGUUCCACUAAAAGGCACAAAUUUUUUAUUUUUUGUUUUUUUGGGUUCCUUUUGAAUCUACUAUUGUUCUCAUGAUAUAAAGAGCUUAAACAUCACUCUAUUUUAUGAGUGAAAAGGAAAAGAUGAGUUUAGAUCAAUCUCUAUUGUCUUUUUGUUUUUUUUUUUUAACUAAAAAAUCUUGAAUUUUUUGAGCUUUAAUUAAUAUUUAAUAUAAAAUAUAUAUAUAUAACCUUGCACAACACUUGACCCUACACAAAGAGAUUUUAGAGCUUCAAGAAAUAAGAGCAAGGCAGAA
Molecule: long non-coding RNA, 15962 nt
Filed under: Vitis vinifera (wine grape)
Lineage: Eukaryota; Viridiplantae; Streptophyta; Magnoliopsida; Vitales; Vitaceae
Description: long non-coding RNA (VVIN_LNC004769)
Source: RNAcentral